AGCUUUGCGCAGUGGCAGUAUCGUAGCCAAUGAGGUUUAUCCGAGGCGCGAUUAUUGCUAAUUGAAAAGUCUGCCUGCCACAUGAUAAAAAUUCCCUUUUGGAGUUAAAAAUGUAA
This 116-nucleotide small nuclear RNA is filed under the name Saimiri boliviensis boliviensis (Bolivian squirrel monkey). RNAcentral's name for it is "U4 spliceosomal RNA (ENSSBOG00000015469.1)". It matches the Rfam family "U4 spliceosomal RNA". From Rfam's summary of the family: U4 small nuclear RNA (U4 snRNA) is a component of the major U2-dependent spliceosome. The structure of U4 snRNA from yeast and human has been reported. The record is from Rfam by way of RNAcentral. Lineage: Eukaryota; Metazoa; Chordata; Mammalia; Primates; Cebidae.